GAUGAACGCUGGCGGCGUGCCUAAUACAUGCAAGUCGAGCGAACAGACGAGAAGCUUGCUUCUCUGAUGUUAGCGGCGGACGGGUGAGUAACACGUGGAUAACCUACCUAUAAGACUGGGAUAACUUCGGGAAACCGGAGCUAAUACCGGAUAAUAUUUUGAACCGCAUGGUUCAAUAGUGAAAGACGGUCUUGCUGUCACUUAUAGAUGGAUCCGCGCUGCAUUAGCUAGUUGGUAAGGUAACGGCUUACCAAGGCAACGAUGCGUAGCCGACCUGAGAGGGUGAUCGGCCACACUGGAACUGAGACACGGUCCAGACUCCUACGGGAGGCAGCAGUAGGGAAUCUUCCGCAAUGGGCGAAAGCCUGACGGAGCAACGCCGCGUGAGUGAUGAAGGUCUUCGGAUCGUAAAACUCUGUUAUUAGGGAAGAACAAAUGUGUAAGUAACUAUGCACAUCUUGACGGUACCUAAUCAGAAAGCCACGGCUAACUACGUG
This 497-nucleotide ribosomal RNA is filed under the name uncultured bacterium. RNAcentral describes it as "partial 16S ribosomal RNA". It matches the Rfam family "Bacterial small subunit ribosomal RNA", at positions 28 to 507 of the family's 1533-position model. The record is from RNAcentral.